Nerophis ophidion (straightnose pipefish) is the source of this 479-nucleotide long non-coding RNA. RefSeq lists it as uncharacterized. The transcript is spliced from 4 exons. The record is from RefSeq and is a predicted model, not a curated record. NCBI's taxonomy places the organism in Eukaryota, Metazoa, Chordata, Actinopteri, Syngnathiformes, Syngnathidae.
ACUUGUCUUCACAGCUGGAUGUCCCCUCAUCGACAGCUGGAGAGCGAAUGAGCCGGUGGAGUAGGAGGAGGACUUAUUUAUGAGAGCUCUACAGGGGUGGAGCUUCGGUUCCCCUGCAGUGUCACAACGGACCCCUCAGCCCAACCACGCAAGACAAUCUGGAUGUCCCCUCAUCGACAGCUGGAGAGCGAAUGAGCCGGUGGAGUAGGAGGAGGACUUAUUUAUGAGAGCUCUACAGGGGUGGAGCUUCGGUUCCCCUGCAGUGUCACAACGGACCCCUCAGCCCAACCACGCAAGACAAUCUGGAUGUCCCCUCAUCGACAGCUGGAGAGCGAAUGAGCCGGUGGAGUAGGAGGAGGACUUAUUUAUGAGAGCUCUACAGGGGUGGAGCUUCGGUUCCCCUGCAGUGUCACAACGGACCCCUCAGCCCAACCACGCAAGACAAUCUGGAUGUCCCCUCAUCGACAGCUGGAGAGCGA